Molecule: unclassified non-coding RNA, 358 nt
Filed under: Hevea brasiliensis (rubber tree)
Lineage: Eukaryota; Viridiplantae; Streptophyta; Magnoliopsida; Malpighiales; Euphorbiaceae
Source: RNAcentral
GUGAGUUUGUAGAGGGGUGGCGAUGGGCAGCGGAGCAGCUCAUCAAGGAUGGCUCCAGUGCACCCUCAGCUCCAUCAUCAAAGCCGAGAUGGAGAUCCGGCAGAGGCCAUAUCACCGUAACUGCGGCUGCGCGCUGCACAAUUCUGGCCGUGCUGUGCCUAUCGACACCCCCUGCAAGCUCACCAAGGUCUCGUUCCCCUCUCACGAAUCAUGGUUAGGGAAUUCUCUCUUUUGCUCCUCACGAGGCAGUCAGGUCACCGGAUUCAUGGAGUUCCCUAUAUUAGACUCCCAUUCUAUAUCAGAACUUGAGAAUUGAAAUGUCUUUUAUGUUUUAUUAUUAUUAACAAUUCAGUGUUUU